GGGGGGGGGGGGGGGUGGGCCUGGCGCGGGGGGGGCGGAGGGCCGGACGGUGGGAGCUUUCUCUUACGGGUGGCGAGUGGCUGACGGGCGGGGAAUCCGUCGGCGUCUACUUUUUCGUGGGGGAUCACGUCGGGCCACUUCCGCUACUAUCGCAUCCGCCCUACGGUUGACACCCGGGGAGCUUCGUACGUUGCGCGCUUGACUGAGCCGAUGUCGCCUUAGCCAGUGGGCGGGGUAAAGGCCCACCAAGGCGCCGAUCCGUAGCUGGUCUGAGAGGAUGAUCAGCCACACUGGAACUGAGACACGGUCCAGACUCCUACGGGAGGCAGCAGUGGGGAAUAUUGGACAAUGGGCGCAAGCCUGAUCCAGCCAUACCGCGUGGGUGAAGAAGGCCUUCGGGUUGUAAAGCCCUUUUGUUGGGAAAGAAAAGCAGCAGGUUAAUACCCCGCUGUUCUGACGGUACCCAAAGAAUAAGCACCGGCUAACUUCGUG
This 492-nucleotide ribosomal RNA is filed under the name uncultured bacterium. Its description in RNAcentral is "partial 16S ribosomal RNA". It matches the Rfam family "Bacterial small subunit ribosomal RNA", at positions 38 to 507 of the family's 1533-position model. The record is from RNAcentral.